UACAGAGGUGGCAAGCGUUGUUCGGAAUUACUGGGCGUAAAGGGCGCGUAGGCGGCCUUCUAAGUCAGACGUGAAAUCCCCCGGCUUAACCUGGGAACGGCGUCUGAUACUGGAAGGCUUGAGUGCGGGAGAGGGAUGUGGAAUUCCAGGUGUAGCGGUGAAAUGCGUAGAUAUCUGGAGGAACACCGGUGGCGAAGGCGGCAUCCUGGACCGACACUGACGCUGAGGCGCGAAAGCUAGGGUAGCAAACGGG
This 253-nucleotide ribosomal RNA is filed under the name uncultured bacterium. RNAcentral's name for it is "partial 16S ribosomal RNA". It matches the Rfam family "Bacterial small subunit ribosomal RNA", at positions 524 to 776 of the family's 1533-position model. The record is from RNAcentral.